UGAACCUGGAGAAGAAA
This 17-nucleotide small RNA is filed under the name Arabidopsis thaliana (thale cress). Its description in RNAcentral is "ATSL048970". Lineage: Eukaryota; Viridiplantae; Streptophyta; Magnoliopsida; Brassicales; Brassicaceae. The record is from RNAcentral.